Molecule: long non-coding RNA, 497 nt
Filed under: Mytilus galloprovincialis (Mediterranean mussel)
Lineage: Eukaryota; Metazoa; Mollusca; Bivalvia; Mytilida; Mytilidae
Source: RNAcentral
GUCUUAGAUGCAUGAUUUUUUUUAUAAGUUGUUAGUGGCUUUGAACUAGCUGUCAGAUAACUGCGAGUACUCUCAGAUCUGUUCAUUGCGUCUUUUUGUGUCGGGAUGUAUAAGUACCCGGCCACAACCACUUGUAUUUUUGUCCAUCUGAUGAGUUAAACCUUUUUCAACUGAUUUUUAUAGUUCGUUCUUAUGUUGUACUGUUAAUACACUGUCCAGGUUAGGGGAGGGUUGGGAUCCCGCUUACAUGUUUAACCCCGCCACAUUAUUUAUGUAUGUGACUGUCCCAAGUCAGGAGCCUGUAAUUCAGUGGUUGUCGUUUGUUUAUGUGUUACAUAUUUGUUUUUCGUUCAUUUUUUUUUACAUAAAUAAGGCCGUUAGUUUUCUCGUUUGAAUUGUUUUACAUUGUCUUAUCGGGGCCUAUUAUAGCUGACUAUGCGGUAUGGGCUUUGCUCAUUGUUGAAGGCCGUACGGUGAACUAUAGUUGUUAAUGUCUG